This 631-nucleotide ribosomal RNA is filed under the name Russula sp. GAL15265. RNAcentral describes it as "eukaryotic LSU rRNA". The stretch from base 204 to 357 matches the Rfam family "5.8S ribosomal RNA". The record is from RNAcentral. Lineage: Eukaryota; Fungi; Basidiomycota; Agaricomycetes; Russulales; Russulaceae.
GAUCAUUAUCGUAAACCAAGGUGCGAGGGCUGUCGCUGACCUUUUCGGUCGUGCACGCCCGAGUGCUCUCACACAAUCCAUCUCACCCCUUGUGCACCACCGCGUGGGUCCCUCUCUGGCUCGUCCGGAGGGGGGCUCGCGUUUUCACACAAACUUGAAGUAGUGUAGAAUGUCCUUUUUUUGCGAUAACACGCAAUCAAUACAACUUUCAACAACGGAUCUCUUGGCUCUCGCAUCGAUGAAGAACGCAGCGAAAUGCGAUACGUAAUGUGAAUUGCAGAAUUCAGUGAAUCAUCGAAUCUUUGAACGCACCUUGCGCCCCUUGGCAUUCCGAGGGGCACACCCGUUUGAGUGUCGUGAAAUUCUCAAAACCCUUUCUUUUGGUCAUUUUUGACCAUGGAAAGGAUUUUGGACUUGGAGGCCUUUUUGCUGGUUUCAACCUUGAAGCGAGCUCCUCCCAAAUGUAUUAGUGGGGUCUGCAUUGUCGGUCCUUGGCGUGAUAAGUUGUUUCUACGUCUUGGAUUUUUGGCGCUGUACACCUGCUUCUAACCGUCUCAUUGACAACGAUGGUGUUCCGGUCGCCGCCGAUUUUUCGGUGGGAGGCUUGACCCACGAAACAAACCUNGACCUC